CAAACAACUGAACCACCCAGGCGUCCCUGGGAGCCCUAUUUCUUAAAUGAGAACUUCUGUUGUUGUAUAUUUAAGCCAAUAUUUUUUCUUAAAAGACGCUUGGGAAACUGGGUGGAAAGACUUGUCAUUGUGCAAAUUAAAUGUGACAAAAUACCUCAUUGGGAAACCUGUAAUGAAUACUUUCUUUUAAAACAGGUUAAAGGAAGAUGGCAGUGGAAGUGCUUAUGACAAAGAAUCUAUGGCAAUUAUCAAGCUGAAUAAUACGACUGUCCUUUAUUUAAAGGAAGUGACUAAAUUUUUGGCACUGGUCUGCAUUCUUAGGGAAGAAAGUUUUGAACGAAAAGGGUUAAUAGACUACAACUUCCACUGUUUCCGGAAGGCUGUUCACGAAGUUUUUGAGGUGGGUGUGGCUUCUCACAGGAGCUGCGGUCACCAGACCAGUGCCCCCAGCCUAAAAGCGCUGACACACAACGGCACGCCACGAAAUGCCAUCUAGCCUGAAUUCCAGCUGUUGGGCUCUGUGCCAGCUUACUCUUCACUCCAGGGUCAGAUGCCACGUGCUACAGGACAGGGGAGCUGCCGCUUGUGGGAAUCCUGGUGCCUGUGCGACUAGAGACAAGGGGUAGAGUUCCUCAUUUGGAUGAAAACCCCUUCAACCAGUGGUGUGCAACUGAAGCUACUAUUUUUUUUUUUUUUUUAAUGGCAAAAAAGAAUUCUUGAGACUACAGAACUCAGUGUGUCUUUCUCCUCUUUGGGGUCCUCUUUUAAGUAGUUGGGAUAUUUUGGACCUGGAGAUAACACCAUUUACCCAUCCUUACCAGAGAAUGUUGCUGUCAAUUACCAGUUGGAAAUUAUAGAAAGAACUGAAUUUUUAUAUGCUUCACUUAGGUUUUCAUUUGAGUAGUCUCUAAGAAUCCUGCCUUGCUUAAGUUCUAACACUGCCUCUCAGAUUUCAGUUUUGGACUUUGCACACCUAAGACGUUUUAAAUGCAUUUGCUUGCUAACUCAGAAGACACAUGGUCUGACCGCAGCAAAGGACAUUCCUGUGUUUGUUACUGAAAAAACGAGAAAGUUUUAUGCUGCAUCAGGUCGAGAGCAAGGCUCAACAGUGGCCGCUGCAUUAAUUCUCUUGAAGUGUUGAAGAAACUUCAAAACAGAAGAAAAAGUUUGCACCUGUGUUUUGGGUACCAGAUAUCUGGGUUCUUUCUCCUCCAUUAGAUAAGUGAUCAUGAUCAGUGUAACGAUGGGAAUUUUAAAAAUUUGUUUUCCCCACAAUCUCCUCCUUCCAGGGGAGAAAUUCAUUAUGUCAUUGAAAUACUUAGCUCACUUUUUUUUUAGACUUGGUACCAGCCGCUACGUACCUUUUACUCUAAGCGAUCUAGAUUUCUUUAUGAAUUGCUGUUUUGUUGGCCACGAACGACCCUAAGGGACUGGUGGGCUGUCCACUGGGAGUUGGAGAGAGCACAUGGCGCCACAACAUGUGUGAUUAAACAGACUUUGUCUCCAGUAUUCUGACACCAAGUGUCAACUGUGGUACUUUCUUCACCUAGGAUAUUAAUUCAUAAUUGUUUCUUUUUUUUUGUUGAUGGUUGAUACCCUGUCCAUUGAUUUAAAGUGACACAUUGUUUUUACUCGACAUGCCCAGUAGUCCUGUAUUCCAAAGCCACUGGACCACUUGAGUACAUAAGUGCCACUGUUCAAUGAAAUAUGUAUAUUCAGGUCUGUAAACCUAACAGUGUGACUUGGAGUGCUUCCUGCAGAUGAUUCUGACUGUUGAGUAUUUACAUGGACCAUGGUGAUAUCCAAAAGAAAAUGCUUUUAUAUUUAUAGAUUAUUUCACUGAACUAUAUAAAAUGGGUAUCAAUAAAUGUAUUUACUCCAAAA
Molecule: long non-coding RNA, 1884 nt
Organism: Ailuropoda melanoleuca (giant panda)
Lineage: Eukaryota; Metazoa; Chordata; Mammalia; Carnivora; Ursidae
Exons: 2
Source: RefSeq, a predicted model, not a curated record